Molecule: microRNA, 24 nt
Filed under: Xenopus laevis (African clawed frog)
Lineage: Eukaryota; Metazoa; Chordata; Amphibia; Anura; Pipidae
Description: Xla-Mir-34-P3d2_5p (mature (co-guide))
Source: RNAcentral
AGGCAGUGUAUCGUUAGUUUGCUG